GGAUGAAUGUACGUUUCCGCUAGUCCAACGCUAGUCGGAAUUCAUAGAAUGGGCUAGUCCAAUACUAGACCCUUAGGGAUUUCCCCUCAUUAGCAUAUCAUUUGCUUGUUCACCACAUAUCAUGCAUUUUUCUUAGUUUCAUCACUUGGCAUGCUCCUCGAACCCCCUUUCCCUUCAUUUUAGGAUUUUGCAUAUCAUGAUAGUUGUAGGGUCCAUUUGCUUGAGUGUCCCCUUCCGAUAAGGGAAACGAGCGAGUGUGGCUACUCGAUAGCCUUAGCACGCUAGUUUCGCCUUCUAAUCAAAGGGAAAAUCAAGUCACGAUUUAGGUCUCCCCGUACCCAAUAUGCAUGAAUUCCCUAGGCUCAUGCAUUCUCAAUCCACUCUAUCAUUACACUUUCACUUUUGUCUCAUUUGCACACAUGCACCUUUUUAUCACCUUCACUUGCACACGAACACCCUUUUAUCUUCACUUGCACACGAGCAUUUUAUCUUCACUCGCACACGAGUACUUUCAUCUACAUUUGCACACCUUCACUCUUAUCUUAUUACUUUUAUCAUUUUUCUCACUUCACACAAGCUCACACUUUCACAUGGCAUGCA
RNAcentral lists this long non-coding RNA (600 nucleotides) under Coffea arabica (coffee). Its description in RNAcentral is "long non-coding RNA (CARA_LNC004661)". The record is from RNAcentral. Lineage: Eukaryota; Viridiplantae; Streptophyta; Magnoliopsida; Gentianales; Rubiaceae.